Molecule: ribosomal RNA, 497 nt
Filed under: uncultured bacterium
Lineage: Bacteria
Description: partial 16S ribosomal RNA
Rfam family: Bacterial small subunit ribosomal RNA
Source: RNAcentral
GAUGAACGCUGGCGGCGUGCCUAAUACAUGCAAGUCGAGCGAACAGACGAGGAGCUUGCUCCUCUGACGUUAGCGGCGGACGGGUGAGUAACACGUGGAUAACCUACCUAUAAGACUGGGAUAACUUCGGGAAACCGGAGCUAAUACCGGAUAAUAUAUUUAACCGCAUGGUUCAAUAGUGUAAGACGGUUUUUCUUUCACUUAUAGAUGGAUCCGCGCCGCAUUAGCUAGUUGGUAAGGUAACGGCUUACCAAGGCAACGAUGCGUAGCCGACCUGAGAGGGUGAUCGGCCACACGGGAACUGAGACACGGUCCAGAGUACUACGGGAGGCAGCAGUAGGGAAUCGUCCGCAAUGGGCGAAAGCAUGACGGAGCAACGCCGCGUGAGUGAUGAAGGUCUUCGGAUCGUAAAACUCUGUUAUUAGGGAAGAACAAAUGUGUAAGUAACUAUGCACGUCUUGACGGUACCUAAUCAGAAAGCCACGGCUAACUACGUG